This 926-nucleotide ribosomal RNA is filed under the name uncultured Bacteroidota bacterium. RNAcentral's name for it is "bacterial SSU rRNA". It matches the Rfam family "Bacterial small subunit ribosomal RNA", at positions 1 to 917 of the family's 1533-position model. The record is from RNAcentral. Lineage: Bacteria; Pseudomonadati; Bacteroidota.
UGGAUCCAGACUUUGAUUAUGGCUCAGGAUGAACGCUAGCUACAGGCCUAACACAUGCAAGUCGAGGGGAAACGACAUCGAAAGCUUGCUUUUGAUGGGCGUCGACCGGCGCACGGGUGAGUAACGCGUAUCCAACCUGCCCAUCACUUGGGGAUAACCUUGCGAAAGUAAGACUAAUACCCAAUGACGUCUCUAGAAGACAUCUGAAAGAGAUUAAAGAUUUAUCGGUGAUGGAUGGGGAUGCGUCUGAUUAGCUUGUUGGCGGGGUAACGGCCCACCAAGGCAACGAUCAGUAGGGGUUCUGAGAGGAAGGUCCCCCACAUUGGAACUGAGACACGGUCCAAACUCCUACGGGAGGCAGCAGUGAGGAAUAUUGGUCAAUGGGCGAGAGCCUGAACCAGCCAAGUAGCGUGCAGGAUGACGGCCCUAUGGGUUGUAAACUGCUUUUAUAAGGGAAUAAAGUGAGUCUCGUGAGACUUUUUGCAUGUACCUUAUGAAUAAGGACCGGCUAAUUCCGUGCCAGCAGCCGCGGUAGUACAGAAGGUCCGGGCGUUAUCCGGAUUUAUUGGGUUUAAAGGGAGCGUAGGCCGGAGAUUAAGCGUGUUGUGAAAUGUAGACGCUCAACGUCUGCACUGCAGCGCGAACUGGUUUCCUUGAGUACGCACAAAGUGGGCGGAAUUCGUGGUGUAGCGGUGAAAUGCUUAGAUAUCACGAAGAACUCCGAUUGCGAAGGCAGCUCACUGGAGCGCAACUGACGCUGAAGCUCGAAAGUGCGGGUAUCGAACAGGAUUAGAUACCCUGGUAGUCCGCACGGUAAACGAUGGAUGCCCGCUGUUGGUCUGAAUAGGUCAGCGGCCAAGCGAAAGCAUUAAGCAUCCCACCUGGGGAGUACGCCGGCAACGGUGCAACUCAAAGGAAUUGACGGA